This 381-nucleotide ribosomal RNA is filed under the name uncultured eukaryote. Its description in RNAcentral is "partial 18S ribosomal RNA". It matches the Rfam family "Eukaryotic small subunit ribosomal RNA", at positions 592 to 976 of the family's 1831-position model. The record is from RNAcentral.
CAAUAGCGUAUAUUAAAGCUGUUGCGAUUAAAAAGCUCGUAGUUGGAUUUCUGUCAAGGACAACUGGUCCGCCCUCCGGGUGAGCACAUAGUUUGGUCUUGGCAUCUUGCUGGAAGCUGUUGCUGCACUUGGCUGUGUGGCGCAGCGUCCAGCACUUUCACUUUGAGGAAAUUGGAGUGUUUCAAGCAGGCACAUGCCUUUGGACACAGUAGCAUGGAAUAAUUAGAUUGGGCUUUUGCUCCAAUUUGUCGGUUUCUGGAGCUGAGGUGAGAAUUAAUGGGGAUUGUUGGGGGCAUCCGAAUUUAGCCGUCAGAGGUGAAAUUCUUGGAUCUGCUAAAGACGGACAACUGCGAAAGCGUUUGCCCAGGAUGUUUUCAUUGA